This 242-nucleotide ribosomal RNA is filed under the name uncultured bacterium. Its description in RNAcentral is "partial 16S ribosomal RNA". It matches the Rfam family "Bacterial small subunit ribosomal RNA", at positions 15 to 239 of the family's 1533-position model. The record is from RNAcentral.
GAUCCUGGCUCAGGACGAACGCUGGCGGCGCGCCUAACACAUGCAAGUCGAACGGAGAUUACAGGCGGAAGUUUUCGGAUGGAAGCUUGUAAACUUAGUGGCGGACGGGUGAGUAACACGUGAGCAACCUGCCUAUCAGAGGGGGAUAACGAUUGGAAACGAUCGCUAAUACCGCAUGACAUAGCGGAACCGCAUGGUUUUGUUAUCAAAGAUUUUAUCGCUGAUAGAUGGGCUCGCGUUCG